GACUACAGGGGUAUCUAAUCCUGUUCGAUCCCCACGCUUUCGUGCAUCAGCGUCAGUAACGGCCCAGUAAGCUGCCUUCGCAAUCGGUGUUCUGUGUAAUAUCUAAGCAUUUCACCGCUACAUUACACAUUCCGCCUACCUUGACCAUACUCAAGACUAACAGUAUCAACGGCAGUUCCACAGUUAAGCUGCAGGUUUUCACCACUGACUUAUUAAUCCGCCUACGCACCCUUUAAACCCAAUAAAUCCGGAUAACGCUCGCAUCCUCCGUAUUACCGCGGCUGCUGGCACGGAGUUAGCCGAUGCUUAUUCCCAAGGUACCGUCAGUCCCGCACUCGUGCGGGAGGUUCGCCCCCUGGAAAAGCAGUUUACAACGCAUAGCGCCUUCUUCCUGCACGCGGGAUGGCUGGUUCAGGCUUGCGCCCAUUGACCAAUAUUCCUCACUGCAGCCACCCGUAGG
RNAcentral lists this ribosomal RNA (460 nucleotides) under uncultured Bacteroidota bacterium. Its description in RNAcentral is "uncultured Bacteroidetes bacterium partial 16S ribosomal RNA". The record is from RNAcentral. Lineage: Bacteria; Pseudomonadati; Bacteroidota.